UUUACUAUGAUGGGUUACAUCCAUGUCAAAUCAACAAGUGCUAGAACGUAACCGCCUAACAUUUAUUUGAAAUUAAGAGUGCAUCUAGUAUUCAUAAACAGUAACGCACGUUCUACUGACCGAAGGUUACUGAGUACUGGUUUUUGACUUGCGGAAGGGUACCCAGUAUUGGUGCAGCCAUGGAUUCAGAAACAGAGCUGAUCCUUAAGAAGGAGCACAGGUACAGCAUGUCAGAGCUGUUCCCUGUACUCUUGGACACUUAUGAUGCAAAAAUGUUGCAGUGGUGUGAUAAUGCUGCAGGUCUGCUUUGUAUGGAGAACAAUCUACUGAUGCUGGGAUUCUGAGAGUCUGGUGAAUCAUUA
Molecule: long non-coding RNA, 362 nt
Organism: Schistocerca piceifrons (Central American locust)
Lineage: Eukaryota; Metazoa; Arthropoda; Insecta; Orthoptera; Acrididae
Exons: 3
Source: RefSeq, a predicted model, not a curated record